This 3282-nucleotide ribosomal RNA is filed under the name Drosophila melanogaster (fruit fly). Its description in RNAcentral is "eukaryotic LSU rRNA". The stretch from base 573 to 3282 matches the Rfam family "Eukaryotic large subunit ribosomal RNA", at positions 1 to 2340 of the family's 3401-position model. Lineage: Eukaryota; Metazoa; Arthropoda; Insecta; Diptera; Drosophilidae. The record is from RNAcentral.
ACUCUAAGCGGUGGAUCACUCGGCUCAUGGGUCGAUGAAGAACGCAGCAAACUGUGCGUCAUCGUGUGAACUGCAGGACACAUGAACAUCGACAUUUUGAACGCAUAUCGCAGUCCAUGCUGUUAUGUACUUUAAUUAAUUUUAUAGUGCUGCUUGGACUACAUAUGGUUGAGGGUUGUAAGACUAUGCUAAUUAAGUUGCUUAUAAAUUUUUAUAAGCAUAUGGUAUAUUAUUGGAUAAAUAUAAUAAUUUUUAUUCAUAAUAUUAAAAAAUAAAUGAAAAACAUUAUCUCACAUUUGAAUGUGAAAAACGAAGAGAAAUAUUUUCUUUUUCAAUCAAAUAAUACUGAGAAAUGUCUAGCAUAAAAAAUUGAAAUAUUUUUCAUCUAGAAUUGUCUCUUAUUAAUGAUUCGGAAAUAGAAAAAUCUUGGUUAUGUUAUUAUUCUUCGUUGGUUCGUUAAAAAUGGAUAAAUAAAAACUUUGCAUACAAGAAUUAAUAAAAAUGUUAUAACGAAUUUAAUUAAAUGUUUUAUCAUUAUAUAUAAAGAAUUUAUGGCAAGAUAAAGUUAUAUACAACCUCAACUCAUAUGGGACUACCCCCUGAAUUUAAGCAUAUUAAUUAGGGGAGGAAAAGAAACUAACAAGGAUUUUCUUAGUAGCGGCGAGCGAAAAGAAAACAGUUCAGCACUAAGUCACUUUGUCUAUAUGGCAAAUGUGAGAUGCAGUGUAUGGAGCGUCAAUAUUCUAGUAUGAGAAAUUAACGAUUUAAGUCCUUCUUAAAUGAGGCCAUUUACCCAUAGAGGGUGCCAGGCCCGUAUAACGUUAAUGAUUACUAGAUGAUGUUUCCAAAGAGUCGUGUUGCUUGAUAGUGCAGCACUAAGUGGGUGGUAAACUCCAUCUAAAACUAAAUAUAACCAUGAGACCGAUAGUAAACAAGUACCGUGAGGGAAAGUUGAAAAGAACUCUGAAUAGAGAGUUAAACAGUACGUGAAACUGCUUAGAGGUUAAGCCCGAUGAACCUGAAUAUCCGUUAUGGAAAAUUCAUCAUUAAAAUUGUAAUAUUUAAAUAAUAUUAUGAGAAUAGUGUGCAUUUUUUCCAUAUAAGGACAUUGUAAUCUAUUAGCAUAUACCAAAUUUAUCAUAAAAUAUAACUUAUAGUUUAUUCCAAUUAAAUUGCUUGCAUUUUAACACAGAAUAAAUGUUAUUAAUUUGAUAAAGUGCUGAUAGAUUUAUAUGAUUACAGUGCGUUAAUUUUUCGGAAUUAUAUAAUGGCAUAAUUAUCAUUGAUUUUUGUGUUUAUUAUAUGCACUUGUAUGAUUAACAAUGCGAAAGAUUCAGGAUACCUUCGGGACCCGUCUUGAAACACGGACCAAGGAGUCUAACAUAUGUGCAAGUUAUUGGGAUAUAAACCUAAUAGCGUAAUUAACUUGACUAAUAAUGGGAUUAGUUUUUUAGCUAUUUAUAGCUAAUUAACACAAUCCCGGGGCGUUCUAUAUAGUUAUGUAUAAUGUAUAUUUAUAUUAUUUAUGCCUCUAACUGGAACGUACCUUGAGCAUAUAUGCUGUGACCCGAAAGAUGGUGAACUAUACUUGAUCAGGUUGAAGUCAGGGGAAACCCUGAUGGAAGACCGAAACAGUUCUGACGUGCAAAUCGAUUGUCAGAAUUGAGUAUAGGGGCGAAAGACCAAUCGAACCAUCUAGUAGCUGGUUCCUUCCGAAGUUUCCCUCAGGAUAGCUGGUGCAUUUUAAUAUUAUAUAAAAUAAUCUUAUCUGGUAAAGCGAAUGAUUAGAGGCCUUAGGGUCGAAACGAUCUUAACCUAUUCUCAAACUUUAAAUGGGUAAGAACCUUAACUUUCUUGAUAUGAAGUUCAAGGUUAUGAUAUAAUGUGCCCAGUGGGCCACUUUUGGUAAGCAGAACUGGCGCUGUGGGAUGAACCAAACGUAAUGUUACGGUGCCCAAAUUAACAACUCAUGCAGAUACCAUGAAAGGCGUUGGUUGCUUAAAACAGCAGGACGGUGAUCAUGGAAGUCGAAAUCCGCUAAGGAGUGUGUAACAACUCACCUGCCGAAGCAACUAGCCCUUAAAAUGGAUGGCGCUUAAGUUGUAUACCUAUACAUUACCGCUAAAGUAGAUGAUUUAUAUUACUUGUGAUAUAAAUUUUGAAACUUUAGUGAGUAGGAAGGUACAAUGGUAUGCGUAGAAGUGUUUGGCGUAAGCCUGCAUGGAGCUGCCAUUGGUACAGAUCUUGGUGGUAGUAGCAAAUAAUCGAAUGAGACCUUGGAGGACUGAAGUGGAGAAGGGUUUCGUGUGAACAGUGGUUGAUCACGAGUUAGUCGGUCCUAAGUUCAAGGCGAAAGCCGAAAAUUUUCAAGUAAAACAAAAAUGCCUAACUAUAUAAACAAAGCGAAUUAUAAUACACUUGAAUAAUUUUGAACGAAAGGGAAUACGGUUCCAAUUCCGUAACCUGUUGAGUAUCCGUUUGUUAUUAAAUAUGGGCCUCGUGCUCAUCCUGGCAACAGGAACGACCAUAAAGAAGCCGUCGAGAGAUAUCGGAAGAGUUUUCUUUUCUGUUUUAUAGCCGUACUACCAUGGAAGUCUUUCGCAGAGAGAUAUGGUAGAUGGGCUAGAAGAGCAUGACAUAUACUGUUGUGUCGAUAUUUUCUCCUCGGACCUUGAAAAUUUAUGGUGGGGACACGCAAACUUCUCAACAGGCCGUACCAAUAUCCGCAGCUGGUCUCCAAGGUGAAGAGUCUCUAGUCGAUAGAAUAAUGUAGGUAAGGGAAGUCGGCAAAUUAGAUCCGUAACUUCGGGAUAAGGAUUGGCUCUGAAGAUUGAGAUAGUCGGGCUUGAUUGGGAAACAAUAACAUGGUUUAUGUGCUCGUUCUGGGUAAAUAGAGUUUCUAGCAUUUAUGUUAGUUACUUGUUCCCCGGAUAGUUUAGUUACGUAGCCAAUUGUGGAACUUUCUUGCUAAAAUUUUUAAGAAUACUAUUUGGGUUAAACCAAUUAGUUCUUAUUAAUUAUAACGAUUAUCAAUUAACAAUCAAUUCAGAACUGGCACGGACUUGGGGAAUCCGACUGUCUAAUUAAAACAAAGCAUUGUGAUGGCCCUAGCGGGUGUUGACACAAUGUGAUUUCUGCCCAGUGCUCUGAAUGUCAAAGUGAAGAAAUUCAAGUAAGCGCGGGUCAACGGCGGGAGUAACUAUGACUCUCUUAAGGUCAUAAGGCCAAAUGCCUCGUCAUCUAAUUAGUGACGCGCAUGAAUGGAUUAACGAGAUUCCUACU